Triticum aestivum (bread wheat) is the source of this 118-nucleotide non-coding RNA. Lineage: Eukaryota; Viridiplantae; Streptophyta; Magnoliopsida; Poales; Poaceae. The record is from Rfam.
GAUCUAUUCCCUCCGUCCGAACAAACUUGUUCCUCAAAUGAAUGUAUCUAGCAUCAAGUUAGUGCUAGAUACAUCAGACAAGUUUGGGAUAAGUUUUUUCGGACGAAGGGAGUACCAA